RNAcentral lists this ribosomal RNA (2299 nucleotides) under Triticum aestivum (bread wheat). RNAcentral's name for it is "partial small subunit ribosomal RNA". Lineage: Eukaryota; Viridiplantae; Streptophyta; Magnoliopsida; Poales; Poaceae. The record is from RNAcentral.
GGCUGGGAACCAAACAGCCCCUCUCCUGGCUACCUAUGGGGUGGGUCUCCACCCUUCUGGCUGCCGACGAGGCUGCCGGACAAGAGAGAGGAGGGAAACCUUGGGUGACGGCUAGUGCUACUGCUAGGAAAAGGCGACAGUGGACACAAGUAGUAGAAGCGUCCGGUUCCCCCCAACACAUCAGUUGGUCCACCUGGCCCCCCUGGGUGACUAGAAACAGCGGAGCAAAGCUAGCAGACACGCACAAGAGACAGCCAUGUGGGGCCCGGGAUGCAGACUGUGCGUGCAUCCUUCAUCCUCCUCCACCACCACUCCUCCCCUCCUGUUUCCGCUCCGCUCCGCCCCCGGUAAACCCCAUCCCGUCCCGAUCCCCUCCCCUCCCCUCCCCGGAGGAAUCUUUGCUCCCUCCCACUUAUAUAAACCCCUCUCCGCCACUCCACUCUCCCAGAUCUACAUCCUCCCUCCACCCCGUCUCGCCGGCCGCCCGGCCGCCCCCCAAUCGUGCGUCGGACGAGGCCACGGCGAUGGAUCUCCUCUCGGACGCCCAGCCCCAGUGGCUCCUCGCCGGCGCCGCGCUGCUGCUCGCCACCGUCGCCUUCCUCAGGGUCCUCCUCGGCUCCGGCGGCCGCGGCAAGCGGGCGCCGCCGACGAUCCCGGGGGCGCCCGUCGUGGGCGGGCUCCUGCGCUUCCUGCGGGGCCCCAUCCCGCUCAUCCGGGCCGAGUACGCCCGCCUCGGCCCCGUCUUCACCGUCCCCAUCCUCACCCGCCGGAUCACCUUCCUCAUCGGCCCCGACGUCUCGGCGCACUUCUUCAAGAGCAACGAGUCCGACAUGAGCCAGCAGGAGGUCUACCGCUUCAACGUCCCCACCUUCGGCCCCGGGGUCGUCUUCGACGUCGACUACCAGGUCAGGCAGGAGCAGUUCAGGUUCUUCACCGAGGCGCUCAGGGCCAACAAGCUCCGCAGCUACGUCGACCAGAUGGUUGCCGAGGCCGAGGAGUACUUCUCAAAGUGGGGAGAAAGCGGCACUGUGGAUCUGAAGUAUGAACUGGAGCACCUCAUCAUACUGACUGCUAGCCGAUGCUUGUUGGGAAGGGAAGUGCGAGAAAAAUUGUUUGAUGAUGUUUCUGCUCUCUUCCAUGAUCUUGACAAUGGGAUGCAGCCAAUCAGUGUCAUCUUUCCCUACCUCCCAAUCCCUGCACACCGUCGCCGUGACCAGGCACGGACACGUUUGGCGGAGAUCUUUGCCACGAUCAUCAAGUCCCGCAAGGCCUCUGGACAGUCCGAGGAAGACAUGCUGCAGUGCUUCAUUGAUUCCAAGUACAAGAAUGGCCGCCAGACCACAGAAAGUGAGGUGACUGGGCUACUUAUUGCAGCCCUGUUUGCUGGACAGCACACUAGCUCGAUCACCUCAACCUGGACUGGGGCCUACCUGCUUAAGUUCCAGCAGUACUUUGCAGAGGCUGUUGAGGAGCAGAAGGAGGUCAUGAAGAGGCAUGGUGACAAGAUCGAUCACGACAUAUUGGCAGAGAUGGAUGUCCUCUACCGGUGCAUCAAGGAGGCGCUCCGGCUCCACCCGCCGCUGAUCAUGCUGCUUCGCCAAUCACACUCUGACUUCAGCGUGACCACGAGGGAAGGCAAAGAGUUUGAUAUCCCCAAGGGCCACAUCGUCGCAACAUCUCCUGCUUUCGCUAACAGGCUCCCCCAUAUCUUCAAGAACCCGGACUCGUAUGACCCUGACCGGUUUGCAGCUGGGAGGGAGGAGGACAAGGUUGCGGGUGCCUUCUCGUACAUCUCCUUUGGGGGUGGCAGGCACGGGUGCCUGGGUGAGCCCUUCGCGUACCUGCAGAUCAAGGCGAUAUGGACACACCUCCUGAGGAACUUUGAGUUUGAGCUGGUCUCACCGUUCCCAGAGAACGACUGGAAUGCGAUGGUCGUCGGCAUCAAGGGCGAGGUGAUGGUCAGCUACAAGCGGCGGAAGCUUGUCGUCGACAACUAGAGAGCGGGUGGUCCCAUAGGGGGUGUUUGCUUCUGUAUUUGUUCCAUUUAAGUUUUUUCUAUUCGCACGCCAACCUGUAGGGUAUCUAUCUUGCCAUUGUUUUAGGGUACUUUGAUUUGCUUCCAGUGAUUAUUUAGACGUGUAGCAUCUGAGUGUUGUUUCUCUCUCCUUUCAUCUUUGCUGCUGUCCAUUCUCUUAGACGGGUUCAGACAUAAAAUGUGAACAGACAACCCUAUGUAAGGAACACAACAACUGUGACUGAGUUCAUUCAAAAUGCAGUUCUUGCUGCAAUGGUUUCUUGU